This is a non-coding RNA of Scytonema millei VB511283, 230 nucleotides long. The record is from Rfam. NCBI's taxonomy places the organism in Bacteria, Bacillati, Cyanobacteriota, Cyanophyceae, Nostocales, Scytonemataceae.
GUCAACACCCCUGCCUAAAGGCUAUUGGCUCUCUAGCCUCAGUUUUUAGGAUUAGUUGACCCGACGCGCGUACCUCGUGUACUACGUUAUUGGCAAGUGUUCAAGUUCUCACUCCGGGAUACGUGAUGCCAGUCUCGGACUCUGAAACCGGACGAUUAAACAGGUUUAUUGGGUUAAGCCAGUGUCGUUUGGAAAGUACCGACCAAUAACAUCGUCCAGGCUCACAUUAC